AGCCCCGAGGUGAAUUUUCAUGUCGAAUUGCAAAUUCGAAGGCGCAGCUUCAAUCCUGCCGGGGCUU
Molecule: transfer RNA, 67 nt
Filed under: Tupaia minor
Lineage: Eukaryota; Metazoa; Chordata; Mammalia; Scandentia; Tupaiidae
Description: tRNA-Cys
Rfam family: tRNA
About the family: Transfer RNA (tRNA) molecules are approximately 80 nucleotides in length. Their secondary structure includes four short double-helical elements and three loops (D, anti-codon, and T loops).
Source: RNAcentral